UGCAAAGCAGAUAAGGAGCAGAACAUAUUCUUUGAACCAUGCUCCUACAAUCAUACAUGAUAAUGAGAGGCCAAUAUGCAACUGAUUGCAGCUUUCCGUAUAUCCCUCGUCUCAAGUCUCAACCAGCUAUUCCAGCUGUUAAUGUAAUGCUUUUCGUUAGUCCAGGCUCAAAAGUCCAAAGUACUUGAUAAUGAAAGCAUUUUGCAAGGGUUCUCCACAAAUUGAAUUAAUAUAAAAUUACCUGCAUAACAGAUAAAAAUGGUAGUUUAUAGAAAACUCUUUAUCAUCUGUUCUUCACUCCAUCUUUAGCUUAUGUCUCCUUUACUUUGGUGCUCCUGUACAAGAGGGGGAAAAAGAACAAGAAUAUGCCCUGUUGACAUUUGACAACAAAUUAUCAGCGAGCGUAGAUUUUGUGAAGACUGGACCAUAAAACAAAGGUUGGUCAUGGUAUACCGACAUAGAGGUGUUAUCCAUACCUAUAAUGGUUGAGCAGCAGCAGGUAUUACAUGCCAGAUAGGACAGUUUGUUACUUCCGAACCAAGGGAAACACAGUGGCAGCACUGAAGACAGAAUUAAG
Molecule: long non-coding RNA, 577 nt
Filed under: Oryza sativa (Asian cultivated rice)
Lineage: Eukaryota; Viridiplantae; Streptophyta; Magnoliopsida; Poales; Poaceae
Description: long non-coding RNA (OSAT_LNC000413)
Source: RNAcentral